Molecule: long non-coding RNA, 685 nt
Organism: Mauremys mutica (yellowpond turtle)
Lineage: Eukaryota; Metazoa; Chordata; Testudines; Geoemydidae
Exons: 3
Source: RefSeq, a predicted model, not a curated record
ACUGAUCCAUCUGUUAAAGUUAUUGAUGGGGCUGGACAACAGAAAGGAAUUGCCUGCACUGAUGUUGAGUUGAUUUUUCCACCAAUCUAAAGAAUUUCUCACUUGCAGAGGAAUUAUCAUCUGCCCGUUCAAGGUGUGUCUGGCUGGAGAAUAGGUCAUUCUGAGACAACACUGGAAGUAGCAGAGACAUAGCUUUGCAUGAUUGGUUAAAAAGGUGCAAGAAGCCGUGUUAUCCCAGGAGUGAAGAAAAUUCCUUAUUGUGGUCUGAGGUUUUCCCUGAAUUACCUAUACCAGACUUGACAAAGUUACAAAUCUGUCUAAGGGAAGCUGAAGACCCAACUCCUGGAACAGAGCAAGGGCUGUCUGGGUGGAAGAUAGCAUUGCUUUGGAGGAACAACCCUCGAGUAGCCAGUUGUUGAGGUACGGGAAGACUAGGACCACUUCUUGUCACAGGUGUAUGAAUGCCCAGGAAUCCUAAAGUAGACCUAUAGUCCUUCAGUGUGCGCAAGGACUCAUCCGUGUUUGCAAGGUCUCCAAGGAAAGUUUACUGCCAUUGAAAGUAAAGUCCUCAACAGUGUUCCUAACUUCUCUUGGAAAAUCUGAGUUAGCCAUGAUGCCCUGUGUAUAAAUACUGCCAUGGAGAUGGACCUGGUAGCAAUGUCAGCAGCAUUCAAGGAUGCUUGAA